Xyrichtys novacula (pearly razorfish) is the source of this 393-nucleotide non-coding RNA. The record is from the annotation of a GenBank genome assembly. NCBI's taxonomy places the organism in Eukaryota, Metazoa, Chordata, Actinopteri, Labriformes, Labridae.
CACAGCGGAAGUGAGGGGGAAAAAAGGUACGUAAUAGAAGGAGUGUGGCCUGUGAUUUAAUAACACAACCAGCCCUCGCCAUGCUCUGAAACCCACCUGAAGUUAUUAGCAACAUGUGUUUAUAUUUCUGAAAUUCCCAUGGCACUUGAAUCUUACUCAGGCGCAGAUUGGUUUGUUUUCUCAGCCCUCGUCUGUUCUGUGGUGUCCUCGUAGCUUUGUUGGCAAGUUCCCCAGACUUGUAUGCAGAAGUUGAGGUCAAAAAUGAACUGAGCGACCUGAGCUGAACUGAGAGACGUGAGUACACUUAAAGCUGUAGUAGAAAGUGGAAUUAAAUUCUGACAGCUGAAACAAACUGUUUACAACUGUUUACAGCUUCUGCAAAUACAAAUAAAC